AACUGCGAUAGGAUAUGUUUUACUAGGGUUAAACUAUUAUCCAAAAUACUUAUAAGAAAAUAAUAUUUAGCUUCUUUGAAAACGUGUAAUAGUAAUUAAAAGGGCUUUUAAUAAUGUUAUCUGACGAACCUUUGGAUGAAACCAAAAAAAUCCCUGUUAGUUUGGAAAAGAAACGCAGAAAAAGUGCGAAGAAUCAAUUCCUUGAGAAAAAAGCAAAAAUACUUUCGGACGAUGAAGCCGACUUAACGGGAAUUUUAAAAACUAAAAAAACUAAUAAACACAAAAAAUUCUCAAAGAAAGCUGUUUUUUCUUCUGGAAAAAGGAAAGUAGUGAAAGAAAGGAAAAAACCGCCUCAGCUUAAUAUUCUAAGCGAAGAAGAUUCGGAUUUUUGUAAGAGAGAAGAAAUAGUGGAACACUCAGGUCACAUGACUUGGCUUCAAGCAGCUGAAAUAGUACUGGGAGACUUUGGCCCAGAGGGGUUGCAUUUUAAAGAUUUGCACACCGCUAUAGUGCAUCAAGGAUUAGUUUCUAGAAGCUCAGGAACGAGUUUAGAAGCGCUUUUAUACCGAGAAACGGCUCAGGGGAGUGUCCGUUUCGAAAGAGUGCCAGGAGCACGCGGCUUCUUUCGCUGCGUGGCGAAUUCCGAAAAAAAAAGUUCGUUUAAAGAAAGUACGUCAGCUAUGAGGAAAUGGUCUUUCGAUAAAUUAUUAACUCGUUAUAAGAAUAUGAAAAGGGAAUUUAAAGAUCUGCUCUUUUUGAAUUCUUUUCUAAGACAUGAAGUUGAACUAAAGAAAAAUAAGUUUCGCCGCUUACACCAAUUUAAAAGUUAUAUGCUAUCUAAACUGGUGGAAUUUGAGCCGUUAAGUUUAGACGAACCCUUUUACGACGAAUCUAGUGAAAAUUCGGAUUUUUCAGAAUUUUCAGAUUUGGAGCUAAAACCGAUACAAAAACCAUUAAAAAUUCAAAGUAAAGCUUCACGAGAGAGCGGGUCUGCAGGUGAAGCCUCUAUAACACCGAGGAAGAAAACUAAGAAGACUCGAACUUUAUCUCAAGUUUGAAAUACAUCUAAACAGAGCCCAAUAAUUUUUUUAGUGAGUUCGCGUAAAUUUUUGGGGGUAAAUAAAACCCCCCAUAGUUAAAGUAAGUUUAGACGAGAACACAUGCUAUACUUUUGUUGCCUGCAAAAGUUUAGUAGCGUUGACAAGAGCGAGAAACGAUUCACUCUCGACUAGAAGUUGCGGAGAUUAAAGAAAACCUUUAUUAUAUCUAAAGCAGUUCGCGUCUUUGCACACAGUUACGAAUCGUAAACUUACCCGCAUUAGGGAGGACAGUAAAAGUAAACAUAGGAUGAAUUAACUUACAUAA
RNA transcript from Zophobas morio, 1365 nucleotides. RefSeq lists it as uncharacterized. The transcript is spliced from 12 exons. The record is from RefSeq and is a predicted model, not a curated record. NCBI's taxonomy places the organism in Eukaryota, Metazoa, Arthropoda, Insecta, Coleoptera, Tenebrionidae.